Chroicocephalus ridibundus (black-headed gull) is the source of this 2830-nucleotide RNA transcript. It is a transcript of the gene named ring finger protein 4, with no coding region annotated. The record is from RefSeq and is a predicted model, not a curated record. NCBI's taxonomy places the organism in Eukaryota, Metazoa, Chordata, Aves, Charadriiformes, Laridae. The transcript is spliced from 9 exons.
CGCUUCCUGAUUGAUGUGCGCGGCGGCCACUCGGUGAGCCGUAGGGUGGCGAUCCGCCCAAUGGCGGGAGAGCGGAGGCGGGCGUUGCCGGACGCCGCUGCCGGGCCGGGUGUUGAGGGUUUGGAAGGACCUCAGAAGGUUCUCAGACCCUCAGAAAUCUGGAUUUUUUUAACAGUGUGCUACCUAAAGGAAUAUAAGGAAUCGAUACUUCUGGCUUUCUUGCAAUUAGUUUUUUGGUAUUUGUACCUCUCAUUCCGUAGUUUUAGAUCAAGAAACAGCAUGAGCACAACUCAACGAAAGCGCCGUGGAGGAGCAGUUAAUUCUAGGCAAGCUCGGAAACGAAACAGGUUGAUGGCUUCUACCACAGAAAUGGCUUCAGAAGCAGAGCCUAUAGAACUUGAAGAAAGUGCUGGUGAAGAAGUCGUAGAUCUCACGUGUGAAUCUUCUGAUCCUGUAGUUGUUGAUCUAACUCACAAUGAUUCUGUUGUGAUUGUUGAAGAGAAUCAGCGACAAAGGAGAAAUCUUAGACUAAGAAGCCAGCGACAAUCGGACAGCUGUGUACUGAGUAGUGAUGAUGAAGAUGAACCAAGAGAUAAUGAUGUGUAUGUGACAGACAAAGUGUCUCGAGAAUUGGGACCGCUGGAAGAUGAAACCGCGAGUUCAAAGCCGUCUGGUACCGUUAGCUGUCCGAUUUGCAUGGAUGGCUACUCAGAGAUUGUGCAAAGUGGACGACUGAUUGUGUCAACCAAAUGCGGCCAUGUCUUCUGCAGUCAGUGCCUCCGUGAUUCCCUUAGGAAUGCCAACUCUUGCCCAACCUGUAGGAAGAAACUCACUCACAGACAGUAUCAUCCCAUUUAUAUAUGAGUACUUUGAUUUCUCAGGACAGACUCAACUGGAUUUUGGGGGAAAAUGUCAUGUUUUCAGUGCUCUGAAGAUGUAAAGAGCGGCAGGUUGUGCACACAUCCAAAUGAAACUGAUUUUUUUGGAGAAUAACUUGUACAUAUAUAGACAGCUUUUUUUAUGGUCCAAGCUGCUUCUUGUUAUGUCCCUGGUUAUAACGUUAAAUCUGUGACUGUCUCUAAACUAGACCAGCAGCCUGUGUCAGAAAGGAAGCAGCUAAUCCAUUUCCUUCUACUUUUUUAAUGCUUAAAUAAGAGGGUCUGAGUAUUUUGUUAUCUCUUACUCUUUAAAUUAUUCCUGCCAUCGCAUACAGAUAUGGAGUAGUUACCUUUCAAAAUACAGCUGAGCAACUUGCCAUUUCAUUACACUUUUGUUUUUAUGCUCUAAGAAGCUCAUGACUAUCUUGCUUUCUGCUAUACCAUCUUUGCCCAAGGAGGGUCCGAGUUAUAAAUGUCUGCUUUAAACCUGUUAACAGCGAAAAUCUGUGAGCUGAUGUGGAAUCCCAGAUGAGCUGAUACAAGCAGGAGUACCGUAACUAAAUGUAGAUGAGAUGAUUAAAACCAGUAUUUUAUGACCCGCAUAUGCAGUAGCUGCAUCUAUGAAGGUUGAAAUUCAGUCUAUAAAAAAAAAAAAAAACCAACCAAACAAAAAGUCCAAAAUUAAACUUGGAUGCCUUUUGGCAGUUGGUGGCUUAUGAUAAACCAUUAGGAGCACCAUUCUGUGCCCUGGUGCAGCACAAGUGUAGGACGCGUUUAGUUAACACUGAUACCUGAUGUGUCCUUGCUAUAACCUGUCCUAGGGAUCGGUAGGAAUUAAAGCAGCUCUUCUAAUUAGCUUUCUCAAGUUCUGUAUUGAAGAUUGCAACCCGAAAGUAAAGUUGUCUUUUUUAUUUAUUAGGUUGUUUAGGGAUGUUUCUGGAUGUAGUAAUAGGGACAGAGUUUUGUUCCAUAAAGGCUUGCUUAAAAAAAUGCAAUGCUUUCCCCACCCUGGUUUGGAAUAGCUUUGGUCAGUCCCGUUACCAGGAAAAAGCAGUUUCUGCGGUGUGGCAAUAUGGUAACUGCUAAAAUGUUACGUACCUUUAGCUACGGUGCGCUCCCAUUGGUAAUACGAACUACAAGCAAGGGCUACAGCAGUCUUAGGAUAGUGUGGUGACAACAGCCACUGGCACUUGUGUCCCAAAAACUGUAGAAACGAUGAAACAGUACUAAAGAUUGCUUGAAGAAUUAACUGCAAGAAGAGAAGCAGCCCAACAUGACAACUCAAGAUAUUUAAGGGCCACAGAAACAGCUUUCUCCCAGCAGCUUAACAAAGAAAAAAGUAGAAAAAAAACUGUGGCCAGUUUUCCUUGGGUGGCUACUGUACGAGAGGGACGAUAAGAAGGGGAUUUAAGGGAUUACCUCGGGAUGAGGGCGAGUCACGUAUCCGUGCAUCCUUCACAGUGUACGAGCCAUAGCCUAAAAUGACUUUGCACAACUCCCUCUGUGUAAAUAUCACUUUAUAGUUUGUGUCUCAAUAAAUAGAUCUAAUUGAAACUUAGAUACCACAAACUAUAAAAUGUUUAAUGAAGAAGUUUUUAGCUUUUGUGUACCCUGUGAAGUGCCACAGAUUUUGUGCAUCUCAAAAUGAAUUUUAAGCUCUCAGUACAUGGAAAAAUAUUAAAUGGUGUUACACGCAUUUAUUUUUUUUUUAGGGAAAAAAACAACAACCAAACAAAAACCCCCAAAAUAUUUGAGUUCCAGUGACGUUUCACAUUGGCAAGAAGUGAUAGAUAAUAUAAAGAUUUUUCUUUCAUAAUGUAAAUGUAUGUCUUGUAUAUAGUUCAACUUUUCCUGUAUUUAAUUGUAUUCAUGUCUGUCCGUCCCAUCUAUGUUGGACUCUGCUGGUAGGCAAACAGUUCUUUUAACAGGUGGAAAUAAAACUAUCAGUUUGA